UACGUAGGGUGCGAGCGUUGUCCGGAAUUAUUGGGCGUAAAGAGCUCGUAGGCGGUUUGUCACGUCUGCUGUGAAAUCCCGAGGCUCAACCUCGGGCCUGCAGUGGGUACGGGCAGACUGGAGUGCGGUAGGGGAGACUGGAAUUCCUGGUGUAGCGGUGAAAUGCGCAGAUAUCAGGAGGAACACCGAUGGCGAAGGCAGGUCUCUGGGCCACUACUGACGCUGAGAAGCGAAAGCAUGGGGAGCGAACAGG
Molecule: ribosomal RNA, 253 nt
Filed under: uncultured bacterium
Lineage: Bacteria
Description: partial 16S ribosomal RNA
Rfam family: Bacterial small subunit ribosomal RNA
Source: RNAcentral